RNAcentral lists this transfer RNA (74 nucleotides) under Culex quinquefasciatus (southern house mosquito). Its description in RNAcentral is "tRNA-Thr". It matches the Rfam family "tRNA". From Rfam's summary of the family: Transfer RNA (tRNA) molecules are approximately 80 nucleotides in length. Their secondary structure includes four short double-helical elements and three loops (D, anti-codon, and T loops). The record is from RNAcentral. Lineage: Eukaryota; Metazoa; Arthropoda; Insecta; Diptera; Culicidae.
GCAGUGCGUGGCCGAAUGGUUACGCUGUCCGCUUUGUAAGCGGAUGAGUCUGGGUUCGAUUCCCAUCUGCUGCA